CAGCCGCCGCGGGAAUACCAGCACCUCGAGUGGUCAGGAGGUUUAUUGGGCCUAAAGCAUCCGUAGCCGGUUGCAUAAGUUUUCGGUUAAAUCUAUGCGCUUAACGUAUAGGCCGCCGAAAAUACUGUGCAGCUAGGGAGUGGGAGAGGUACACGGUACUCGAUAGGAAGGGGUAAAAUCCUUUGAUCUAUUGAUGACCACCUGUGGCGAAGGCGGUGUACCAGAACACGUUCGACGGUGGGGGAUGAAAGCUGGGGGAGCAAACCGGAUUAGAUACCCCAGUAGUCCCUGUCUCUUAUAC
RNAcentral lists this ribosomal RNA (301 nucleotides) under uncultured bacterium. RNAcentral's name for it is "partial 16S ribosomal RNA". It matches the Rfam family "Archaeal small subunit ribosomal RNA", at positions 459 to 760 of the family's 1478-position model. The record is from RNAcentral.